Molecule: microRNA, 22 nt
Filed under: Bos taurus (domestic cattle)
Lineage: Eukaryota; Metazoa; Chordata; Mammalia; Artiodactyla; Bovidae
Description: bta-miR-2307
Source: miRBase by way of RNAcentral
AGUGAUGAUGAACCCUCUGAGC